RNAcentral lists this microRNA (24 nucleotides) under Glycine max (soybean). Its description in RNAcentral is "gma-miR4405". Lineage: Eukaryota; Viridiplantae; Streptophyta; Magnoliopsida; Fabales; Fabaceae. The record is from miRBase by way of RNAcentral.
AUUCUAAGACGGUUAUCUGGGACC